Molecule: long non-coding RNA, 133 nt
Organism: Cotesia glomerata
Lineage: Eukaryota; Metazoa; Arthropoda; Insecta; Hymenoptera; Braconidae
Exons: 3
Source: RefSeq, a predicted model, not a curated record
UAGAUUAAAAAAACAUUAAAGACAGUAAAUAUUCAGGAAAAAAAUUUAAUGUAUUUGGUGAGCAUCAUUCGAAUACUUUCAUUAUCCACAGUUUUUAAAAUUGAUACUUGUAGUAAAAAUUACAAUAAAUUUC